RNAcentral lists this ribosomal RNA (546 nucleotides) under Nilaparvata lugens (brown planthopper). RNAcentral's name for it is "partial 16S ribosomal RNA". Lineage: Eukaryota; Metazoa; Arthropoda; Insecta; Hemiptera; Delphacidae. The record is from RNAcentral.
ACAGUUAAAUUACUGCAGCUAUUUAAAAAAUUCAUUGAGCAGGUUAAACUUUCAAUAAAUAUAAUACCUGAAAGAAAUGUUUUUGAUAAACAGUCAGAAGUUAAUUAUGCUGAAUUCAUAAAAUCAAUAUUUAUAUAAAUUUACUAAUUAAAUCAUAAUUAAUAAAAUUAAUAAUUUAAUUAAUUAAUUUUGGUUUUAAUUAAAUAAAAAGUUAAUAAAAAAAUAUUUUAAAACAAGUUUAUAUAGAAAAAAAAUUUUAAUCCUACAAUUUUCUCUUAUUAAAACUAAAUUAUAAAGAUUAAAUUAGAUUAACCCAAUUUAAAUUAGUGAAAAAAAUUUUAUGAAAAAAAAAUAUAAAAACUAAAUCACCUAAAUUGAAUUUAUUAAACAAAAUAACCAGAUAUCAGAUUAAACGAUUUUCCUUUCGAAUCUUAAAUAAUUUUAUUAAAAUUUUUGUUACAAUUAAAAUCAAAUAGAUUUAAGAUCUUAAACUUUCGGGAAACACAAAUUUAUUAACAAAAAUUAAUUUACCCUGAUACAAAAGGU